GCCGAAGCAGCCACAGACCCAGCACUCAGGUCCCUGUGUCCAGGAGGCAGAGGUUUUCAGAAGGAAGGUGUGGCUUUAAGUCCCAGAUGUCCCCACCUGUGAAUCUGAAACAUGGACAAGGAAACCUGAGUCUCCUCUGAAGAAGGCAAAGGAGAGACCCACCCAAACUGCUGCAGGAGCAAAUGUGAUAAGAGCGUUUGAGAAAGAAGGAGCACAUCACAGGCUGUGUUCUGCAAAGCUGGGCAUUUCCCCACCCUCCGCAGGGACCUGCCAGCUCCAGCCCAGCCCGCCUGUGCAUCCCAGCUCCUCCAUCGGACCUGAAGCAGUCGCUGCCCUCAGAAAUGCCGCUGGGUCCCAGGAUGACCAGAUGCCCUCUUGUCUGCCCAGUCUGGAGGAGGCGCUGCCCAGAGGAUACUAGGGUAGCGCUAAGGGCCUCUGGACCAUGCCGAGACCACACAGCAUGCAGGCUGGUGAGGUCGACCCACAUCAUUGAUCCAGAUGUUAUCAAAGCCAGCCACACCCUCCAAGAAAUAACACCGAUAAACAAAACUCUUGCUGAUACCUUUCUGCCAUAAAGAACGGAUCCCACACUUCAUCACGUGAGGCUUCUGUUGCCGCAGGAUCAGCCCAGGACCAGUCUAUGUGCAAUGACCCACCUCUGUAUGCUACUCACAUGAAGACAGAGAAUGUGAAACUAGGGGUGGGGGGUGCUCUGCACCCCUGCUGUUCUCUUCCGCUAUAGUUCAGAUGUCUUAGUCAGGAUUGUCACCUGGACAGUGUUUUCAAAUUCUGGAAAUCCUCUGAGCCCUGUGUUCAUUUCCCAUAUUAAAUAAAUCUACGCUGGAUUUCUUAUGCAUUAAUAUCUUAAAUUUCAAAUCCCAUAAAGAUGCAAGAGAAAUAAUUAGACUGAUGUUUUUAUAGACAUAGAUGAAAAUGAGAAAGAAAUCAGGAGAUUUACAGCCUGUAAAUAUAGACCUAGAAACGAAGCUAUAUGUUGUCAGAUCUGCC
This 1008-nucleotide long non-coding RNA is filed under the name Chinchilla lanigera (long-tailed chinchilla). RNAcentral's name for it is "lncRNA (ENSCLAG00000022665.1)". Lineage: Eukaryota; Metazoa; Chordata; Mammalia; Rodentia; Chinchillidae. The record is from RNAcentral.